RNAcentral lists this unclassified non-coding RNA (315 nucleotides) under rhizosphere metagenome. RNAcentral's name for it is "partial ribosomal RNA internal transcribed spacer region". The record is from RNAcentral.
GUAGGUGAACCUGCGGAAGGAUCAUUAACACGAAUUUUAUCCAAUAUCAAACCAAACGUGAACUUUUCCCCUCCCUAUUCUUUAUGAAUGAAAAUUCAUUAUGAAUAGGCUAAACCCUUUUUUACUCUAUAUAUAAUAACGAUUCGUUCGCUAUUGUAUAUAUAGUGUUUUAACUCCUAACAACUUAACUCUAGUUUGUCGAGGUUCUCCUCUUCAACUACUAACACUAAAAAAUGUCAUUUCUCUUAAUUGAGUGUGGCUUUUUUCGAUAUACGAAAUUAAGAACAACUCUUAACAAUGGAUAUCUUGGUUCUC